RNAcentral lists this ribosomal RNA (440 nucleotides) under uncultured bacterium. RNAcentral's name for it is "partial 16S ribosomal RNA". It matches the Rfam family "Bacterial small subunit ribosomal RNA", at positions 338 to 795 of the family's 1533-position model. The record is from RNAcentral.
CCUACGGGUGGCAGCAGUGGGGAAUAUUGCACAAUGGCGGAAACGCUGAUGCAGCAACGCCGCGUGAGUGAGGAAGUAUUUCGGUAUGUAAAGCUCUAUCAGCAGGGAAUAGAAAAGAAGGUACCUGAAAAAGAAGCCCCGGCUAACUACGUGCCAGCAGCCGCGGUAAUACGUAGGUGGCAAGCGUUAUCCGGAAUGAUUGGGCGUAAAGGGUGCGUAGGCGGAAAAAUAAGUCUGAAGUAAAAGGCGUUGCCUCAACCAACGUAAGCUUUGGAAACUGUUAAGCUAGCGUGCAGGAGAGGUAAGUGGAAUUCGAGGUGUAGCGGUAAAAUGCGUAGAUAUAUGGAGGAACACCAGUGGCGAAGGCGGCUAACUGGCCUGUAACGGACGCUGAGGCACGAAAGCGUGGGGAGCAAAUAGGAUUAGAUACCCUAGUAGUC